This is a long non-coding RNA of Acanthopagrus latus (yellowfin seabream), 517 nucleotides long. RefSeq lists it as uncharacterized. The record is from RefSeq and is a predicted model, not a curated record. The transcript is spliced from 2 exons. NCBI's taxonomy places the organism in Eukaryota, Metazoa, Chordata, Actinopteri, Spariformes, Sparidae.
CUGUCCCAUGCUCAUGUUCCAUGUUCCUGUUCCUGUCCCGUUUGCCUCCAGGGGGUUCCAGCCCGCGCCUUCGCCUUCGCCUUCGCCUUCGCCUUCGUCUACGUCGCCAGCCUCCAGGGGGUUCCAGCCCGCGCCUUCGCCGCCAGCCUCCUCUUCUUUGCAAAACAGCUUAUUCUGCUAUUGACUCUUGCUUUGUGUUGUUUGGUGGAUUGGAUGACUGAAGUCUUAAUUUCACAAGAGAUUAAUUCAACCAACAGUGACCUCAGUAGCAUGUGAUGCCGCAACAGCCUGUCAUGUUCUCCUCAUGCUGGUCACCAGCCUGGUCACAGACUGCUGCAGGAUGGCAUGUCAUUCUUCAACCAUUUAUUGCAUGUCAACCAACGUGGUUGUGUUGGUCACCCUGGCACGAACAGCAAACCCAAGCUGAUCACACAAGUGUUCAGUGAGGUUGAGAUCAAGACUGCUGGCAGGACAUUCCAUCCUCUCCACUCCCAAAUUCUGCAGGUAGUCGGUUUGU